This is a long non-coding RNA of Sander lucioperca (pikeperch), 441 nucleotides long. RefSeq lists it as uncharacterized. Lineage: Eukaryota; Metazoa; Chordata; Actinopteri; Perciformes; Percidae. The record is from RefSeq and is a predicted model, not a curated record. The transcript is spliced from 3 exons.
UCACAGAUACACAAGAAAAUAAAAAGACAACUACAAAGUGCUUUACAUUAAACAUACAAUAUGAUACAAAUUGUAUGUUCAUGAUCAUAACACAUCUACAAUUUAUGCAAUAAAUCAUCAUGAAUCAGGCGUCAGUUAAGCAUGUUUUGCAUCCUGAUUAAAAAGUGUCAGUAUUCUAUAUCAAGCAGUUAUAGGACUGGUUGUACUGUGUACGGUUUUUGACCGCAUUGCCUGAGUGCGUAGUCUCAGGAUUGUCACCUUCUUCAGGCUAAAUCAAUGGCACACACGUUUCUCAAAUGACAACACACUUUCAUCAGCCCAUAACAUCCCGCGGCUGCACUCAGAUCGUCUGCAAAGCAGGAAACUCACUGACAAAUUUAGUAAAUUUUUCCACUCUAGAACGGAUUUAGUAGAGCAGAGUCAAACCUCUUAGAUGCUGUU